Molecule: ribosomal RNA, 445 nt
Filed under: uncultured bacterium
Lineage: Bacteria
Description: partial 16S ribosomal RNA
Rfam family: Bacterial small subunit ribosomal RNA
Source: RNAcentral
GUGAGGAAUAUUGGUCAAUGGGCGCGAGCCUGAACCAGCCAAGUAGCGUGAGGGAUGACUGCCCUAUGGGUUGUAAACCUCUUUUGCAGGGGGGUAAAGUGGUUCACGUGUGGACCAUUGCAAGUACCCUGCGAAUAAGGAUCGGCUAACUCCGUGCCAGCAGCCGCGGUAAUACGGAGGAUCCGAGCGUUAUCCGGAUUUAUUGGGUUUAAAGGGAGCGUAGGCGGGGGUUUAAGUCAGCUGUGAAAUGCCGUGGCCCAACCAUGGAACUGCAGUUGAAACUGGACCUCUUGAGAGUACAUAAGGAAGGCGGAAUUCGUGGUGUAGCGGUGAAAUGCAUAGAUAUCACGAAGAACUCCGAUUGCGAAGGCAGCUUUCCGGGGUACAUCUGACGCUGAAGCUCGAAAGUGCGGGAAUCAAACAGGAUUAGAUACCCGGGUAGUCC